GACGAACGCUGGCGGCGUGCUUAACACAUGCAAGUCGAACGGAAAGGCCCUGCUUUUGUGGGGUGCUCGAGUGGCGAACGGGUGAGUAACACGUGUGUAACCUGCCCUUGUCUUUGGGAUAUCUUCAGGAAACUGGUGCUAAUACCGGAUAGGAGCUCCUGCUGCAUGGUGGGGGUUGGAAAGUUUCGGCGGUUGGGGAUGUACUCGCGGCUUAUCCGCUUGUUGGUUGGGUAGUGGCUUACCAAGGCUUUGACGGGUAGCCGGCCUGAGUGGGUGACCGGCCACAAUGGGACUGAGAUACGGACCAGACUGCAACGGGAGGCAGCAGUGGGGAAUAUGGCACAAUGGGCGGAAGCCUGAUGAAGAAACGCCGCGUGCGGGAUGACGGCCUUCGGGUUGUAAACAGCUGUCGCCUGUGACGAAGCGUGAGUGACGGUAAUGGGUAAAGAAGCACCGGCUAACUACGUG
RNAcentral lists this ribosomal RNA (468 nucleotides) under uncultured bacterium. RNAcentral's name for it is "partial 16S ribosomal RNA". It matches the Rfam family "Bacterial small subunit ribosomal RNA", at positions 28 to 507 of the family's 1533-position model. The record is from RNAcentral.